RNAcentral lists this long non-coding RNA (559 nucleotides) under Phoenix dactylifera (date palm). RNAcentral describes it as "long non-coding RNA (PDAC_LNC003968)". The record is from RNAcentral. Lineage: Eukaryota; Viridiplantae; Streptophyta; Magnoliopsida; Arecales; Arecaceae.
CAAAAUACCUAUAAUAAAAUAUUAUAAUUAUAGAAAAUGAUAAUAUUAAUAUAUAAUAAUAACAAUUAUAAUAAUUUAUACCUUUAUUAUUAUAUUAUACCAUAAAUAUAAUAUAAUAUUAUAUUAUAUCAUAAUAUAUUGAUAUGUUAUGUUAUAUAAUACUAAAUUAUGUUAUAUUAUUAUGCUAUAGUAUACAAUAUUAUAUUACUAUAUUAUAAUAAUAUUAUAUUACAUUACAAUAAUAUUAUACUAUAUCAUAUAUUUAUGUAUUAAUAAAUAUUAUAUUUUAUUAUGCCCUGUUGUUUAAUACUAUGAAAUGUUUUUUAUAGUCAUUUUGUCAUACCAAAAGUAUUUUCUUAGUUUGUUUACUAAAUACAUAUUAAAGUUCCACAACACUUUAGAAAUAUAAUUACCAAACAGCAAAUAGCUUUUUAUAAAAACCCUACUUCCGAAAACUCUACUACCAACAGCUCUGUCAAACGAGGCCUUAGAUGACUAUUCUCUUUUAUCCAUAAAAGAAAGCAAAAUACACAAGCAGCCAUGUGUGGCCAUUCUCUUU